GACGAACGCUGGCGGCGUGCCUAAUACAUGCAAGUCGAACGCUUCUUUCCUCCCGAGUGCUUGCACUCAAUUGGAAAGAGGAGUGGCGGACGGGUGAGUAACACGUGGGUAACCUACCCAUCAGAGGGGGAUAACACUUGGAAACAGGUGCUAAUACCGCAUAACAGUUUAUGCCGCAUGGCAUAAGAGUGAAAGGCGCUUUCGGGUGUCGCUGAUGGAUGGACCCGCGGUGCAUUAGCUAGUUGGUGAGGUAACGGCUCACCAAGGCCACGAUGCAUAGCCGACCUGAGAGGGUGAUCGGCCACACUGGGACUGAGACACGGCCCAGACUCCUACGGGAGGCAGCAGUAGGGAAUCUUCGGCAAUGGACGAAAGUCUGACCGAGCAACGCCGCGUGAGUGAAGAAGGUUUUCGGAUCGUAAAACUCUGUUGUUAGAGAAGAACAAGGACGUUAGUAACUGAACGUCCCCUGACGGUAUCUAGCCAGAAAGCCACGGCUAACUACGUG
Molecule: ribosomal RNA, 508 nt
Filed under: uncultured bacterium
Lineage: Bacteria
Description: partial 16S ribosomal RNA
Rfam family: Bacterial small subunit ribosomal RNA
Source: RNAcentral